GGCUUGUGAACUAAAUUUCUUGAAAUGUUCAUAAUGUAUGGCUUUUAUGACCUAUGCAGAGAUAAGGCCUAGAGCACUUUCAGUUGAGUUGACUCUAUUCCACUGUCAUUAUUAUCUUUUCGUCUGUUAAAAAUAAGAAAGGUCAGAUCACAUGAUUUAAAUGCUGAGAUAGAGGAGCUUAUAAACAAAACAAUCACCUAUUAUUACAAAAUUUUAGCUCUUUCUAUUCUCUAUAAAUAAACAACAAAUGGGGCUUUGAGGGAUCCUCAAAUGUCAGCAGGAUCACUGAUCUCCUUGUUCUCCAGCACCACUCCAUCAGGAAUUUCCAAUUUCUGCCCAGGCUUUGCAACAAUUCUUACUCUCCCCUUAAGAGUCACAUAAGAGUCACAUCAGCUCCAAACCACAACAUCACCAAUCACCUUCAAGUUAUCUAGCCCAGCUAUACUAGGGAUGGAUUUGAAGCGACUUAGGAAGUCACUAACCUUUUCAAAUUCAGGUCCUAAUUCAAUAGAUGGAUUUACAGGGUUAUCUCUAGCUGCAUUCCGAACUAAGAUGCCUUCAGAAGAUGAAUACAGAUCAGACUGGAGAAGAAGCAUGUCCGAUGUUGCAUUUAGUGGUACAAACCGAGAUUGAGGGACAAUUAUGCCAAUAGCUUGAUCAAAUAACUUUGCAAUUGAAAGAUUCUCCACCUUCAGCGCAUCAGUAUCAACAAGCCUUUUAAUGGUUUUCAAAUUCACCCAUAAGCUUCUUGUAUCAAUAAAUUUGAAUUCCUCCAUCAAAUGCUUAGAAGGAUUCUGCGUAAUUUCCCGAAGCUGAAACCUUCCUUGACGCUGAUUAGCCAAACUAUUCCUCAUAUAAGUUGAUGCAGUUGGAGUCACCUCCAUACAAUAUUCGAUCUUGUUUUGGAUCAAAUGGUUCAGGAUAUUAGGAUCAAUGGCAGCAGCAGAGUUAUCUGAGCUAAUCACAUGCACAUACUCCUUUCCCUGUGACAAUAAUACAUCAAGAGUUCCACUCUUCAUCAAGGAAAGGAACGCUGAAGCAUCCUCAGAAGUAGACGAUUUAUCCUCGCUGUUCUGAUCAUCAAGAGAUUCCAGGCUAAAAGGAUGAAUAUAAACACUUAACCUGGCAUAUUUCCCCAAAACCUUCAAGGUAUCAUCAUGUGUUCUGGUUGAAUUCAUAAGCACCAAAGGUAUGUGGCACCCAUACUUGGAAUUGAGAGACUCAACUUGAUUAACAAUUAAGUCAAGAGAAGUCAAACCAUUACAAACUUCAAUUGCAGACUUGGGGCCACUAAACCCCACUGGGUUCCCCAAAGUGCCAUUGAACUUCACGAUCACAAGCUUUUCCAAAAGCUGUUUAAUUUCCACAAUAUCAUAAGGAGGAGGAGCCAAAUUCUGAUAAGGA
This 1404-nucleotide unclassified non-coding RNA is filed under the name Hevea brasiliensis (rubber tree). The record is from RNAcentral. Lineage: Eukaryota; Viridiplantae; Streptophyta; Magnoliopsida; Malpighiales; Euphorbiaceae.